Molecule: ribosomal RNA, 102 nt
Filed under: Cephalotaxus oliveri
Lineage: Eukaryota; Viridiplantae; Streptophyta; Pinopsida; Cupressales; Taxaceae
Description: 4.5S ribosomal RNA
Source: RNAcentral
CGAGGUCACGGCGAGACGAGCCGUUUAUCAGACGAUAGGUGUUAAGUGAAAGUACAGUGAUGUAUGCAGCCAAGGCAUCCUAACAGACCGAAGAUUUGAACC